This 424-nucleotide ribosomal RNA is filed under the name Fusobacteriota bacterium. RNAcentral describes it as "Fusobacteria bacterium partial 16S ribosomal RNA". It matches the Rfam family "Bacterial small subunit ribosomal RNA", at positions 355 to 776 of the family's 1533-position model. The record is from RNAcentral. Lineage: Bacteria; Fusobacteriati; Fusobacteriota.
UGAGGAAUAUUGGUCAAUGGGCGAGAGCCUGAACCAGCCAAGUCGCGUGAAGGAAGACAGUCCUAAGGAUUGUAAACUUCUUUUAUACGGGAAUAACGGGCGAUACGAGUAUUGCAUUGAAUGUACCGUAAGAAUAAGCAUCGGCUAACUCCGUGCCAGCAGCCGCGGUAAUACGGAGGAUGCGAGCGUUAUCCGGAUUUAUUGGGUUUAAAGGGUGCGUAGGUUGUUCGGUAAGUCAGCGGUGAAACCUGAGCGCUCAACGUUCAGCCUGCCGUUGAAACUGCCGGGCUUGAGUUCAGUGGCGGCAGGCGGAAUUCGUGGUGUAGAGGUGAAAUGCAUAGAUAUCACGAGGAACUCCGAUUGCGAAGGCAGCUUGCCAUACUGCGACUGACACUGAAGCACGAAGGCGUGGGUAUCAAACAGG